This 459-nucleotide ribosomal RNA is filed under the name uncultured bacterium. RNAcentral's name for it is "partial 16S ribosomal RNA". It matches the Rfam family "Bacterial small subunit ribosomal RNA", at positions 338 to 795 of the family's 1533-position model. The record is from RNAcentral.
CCUACGGGCGGCAGCAGUGAGGAAUAUUGGUCAAUGGCCGCAGGGCUGAACCAGCCAAGUCGCGUGAGGGAUGACGGUCCUAUGGAUUGUAAACCUCUUUUGUCAGGGAGCAAAGGGCGCCACGUGUGGCGCUUUGCGAGUACCUGAAGAAAAAGCAUCGGCUAACUCCGUGCCAGCAGCCGCGGUAAUACGGAGGAUGCGAGCGUUAUCCGGAUUUAUUGGGUUUAAAGGGUGCGCAGGCGGAAUGUCAAGUCAGCGGUAAAAUUUCGGGGCUCAACCCCGUCGUGCCGUUGAAACUGGCGUUCUUGAGUGAGCGAGAAGUAGGCGGAAUGCGUGGUGUAGCGGUGAAAUGCAGAGAUAUCACGCAGAACUCCGAUUGCGAAGGCAGCAUACCGGCGCUCAACUGACGCUCAUGCACGAAAGCGUGGGUAUCGAACAGGAUUAGAUACCCUAGUAGUC